AGGAUUAGAUACCCUGGUAGUCCACGCCGUAAACGGUGGGAACUAGAUGUGGGGUCCGUUCCACGGAUUCCGUGUCGCAGCUAACGCAUUAAGUUCCCCGCCUGGGGAGUACGGCCGCAAGGCUAAAACUCAAAGGAAUUGACGGGGGCCCGCACAAGCGGCGGAGCAUGCGGAUUAAUUCGAUGCAACGCGAAGAACCUUACCAAGGCUUGACAUAUAGAGGAAAAGCGUAGAAAUACGCUCCCCGCAAGGUCUCUAUACAGGUGGUGCAUGGUUGUCGUCAGCUCGUGUUGUGAGAUGUUGGGUUAAGUCCCGCAACGAGCGCAACCCUCGUCCUAUGUUGCCAGCACGUAAUGGUGGGAACUCAUGGGAUACUGCCGGGGUCAACUCGGAGGAAGGUGGGGAUGACGUCAAAUCAUCAUGCCCCUUAUGUCUUGGGCUUCACGCAUGCUACAAUGGCCGGUACAGAGGGCAGCAAUACCGCAAGGUGGAGCGAAUCCCACAAAGCCGGUCUCAGUUCGGAUUGAGGUCUGCAACUCGACCUCAUGAAGUUGGAGUCGCUAGUAAUCGCAAAUCAGCAACGUUGCGGUGAAUACGUUCCCGGGCCUUGUACACACCGCCCGUCAAGUCAUGAAAGUCGGUAACACCCGAAGCCAGUGCCCAACCGCAAGGAGGGAGCUGUCGAAG
Molecule: ribosomal RNA, 687 nt
Filed under: uncultured Actinomycetes bacterium
Lineage: Bacteria; Bacillati; Actinomycetota; Actinomycetes
Description: bacterial SSU rRNA
Rfam family: Bacterial small subunit ribosomal RNA
Source: RNAcentral